UAUUGCACAAUGGAGGGAACUCUGAUGCAGCAACGCCGCGUGGAGGAUGACGCAUUUCGGUGUGUAAACUCCUUUUAUGAGCCAAGAAAAUGACGGUAACUCAUGAAUAAGCACCGGCUAACUCCGUGCCAGCAGCCGCGGUAAUACGGAGGGUGCAAGCGUUACUCGGAAUCACUGGGCGUAAAGGACGCGUAGGCGGGUUGGAAAGUCAGGUGUGAAAUCCUACAGCUUAACUGUAGAACUGCACUUGAAACUUCUAACCUAGAGUAUGGGAGGGGCAGAUGGAAUUAGUGGUGUAGGGGUAAAAUCCGUAGAUAUCACUAGGAAUACCUAAAGCGAAGGCGAUCUGCUGGAACAUAACUGACGCUAAGGCGUGAAAGCGUGGGGAGCAAACGGG
Molecule: ribosomal RNA, 397 nt
Filed under: uncultured bacterium
Lineage: Bacteria
Description: bacterial SSU rRNA
Rfam family: Bacterial small subunit ribosomal RNA
Source: RNAcentral